GGCAAUGUUGAGCAGAGCCUCAGCUGGGGACCCGGACACCUGUGUUCCCACGGCCUGAUCAGUGGAGGCUCACUGUGACCCAUUGCUUAAGGAAAUGAAACUUGGGAAGAAAACCAGAAGAGAACACCCUGCCUCGAUUACGAGAACUGCCCCGAGCGGCAGCCGCAACCCGAGCUCAGCUGUCCCGUCUCCUGCCGCCACAGCCGGGGAUUUUGCCUCAACUGCCUGCUUUCUGAGAAAGACAACGUUCACGACACAGAGAGCUCCUGCCAACCCAGGGCUCCCGGACUCUCCAAGGCCCUCGGGUCCCAUCUCUAAAAGGGGGCUCUAAAGUCCUGCCUCAGAGGACUGGUGGCAAGAAUAAGAGAUGCUAAGGCAGGCAAGGUGGCACUAGCCUGUAACCCAGCCACUUGGGAGGCUGAGGGAGGAGGAUUUCAAGUUCAAGGCCAGCCUCAGCAGCUUGGUGAGACCCUGUCUCAAAAAACAAAACAAAAAAAAAACUGUGGGGCUGAGGUUGUGGCUCAGUGGUAGAGCGCUGCCUAGCAUGCAUGAGGCACUGGGUUCGAGCCGCAGCACCACAUAAAAAUAAAAUAAAGAUAUU
This 601-nucleotide long non-coding RNA is filed under the name Marmota monax (woodchuck). The record is from RNAcentral. Lineage: Eukaryota; Metazoa; Chordata; Mammalia; Rodentia; Sciuridae.